GACGAACGCUGGCGGCAUGCUUAACACAUGCAAGUCGAGCGGUAAGGCCCCUUCGGGGGUACCCGACCGGCGAACGGGUGCGUAACACGUGGGCAAACUGCCCAUCCCAUCGGUACAACUCCGAGAAACCGAAGCUACUUCCGCUAACGCCCACCACCGGCUUCGGAUGGUGGUGGAAAGUUCCGGCGGUGUUGGAUGAGCUCUCGGCCUAUGACCUUGUUGGUGGAGUAACGGCACACCACGGCUUCGACGGAUAGCCGGCCUGUGAGGGUGACCGGCCACACUGGGACUGAGACAGGGCGCAGACGCCUACGGGAGGCAGCAGUGGGGAAUAUUGGACAAUGGGCGAGAGCCUGAUCCAGCAGCGCCGCGGGAGGGAUGACGGCCUUCGGGUUGUAAACCUCUUUCGGCAGGGACGAAGCGCAAGUGACGGUACCUGCAGAAGAAGCACCGGCCAACUACGUG
This 465-nucleotide ribosomal RNA is filed under the name uncultured bacterium. RNAcentral describes it as "partial 16S ribosomal RNA". It matches the Rfam family "Bacterial small subunit ribosomal RNA", at positions 28 to 507 of the family's 1533-position model. The record is from RNAcentral.